Molecule: long non-coding RNA, 5829 nt
Organism: Chelonia mydas (Green sea turtle)
Lineage: Eukaryota; Metazoa; Chordata; Testudines; Cheloniidae
Exons: 3
Source: RefSeq, a predicted model, not a curated record
CUCUGGGGCAGGGACUGCCUCUUUAUUUGAAUAGUGCUUGCACAGUGGGAGCCUGGCCUAUAGAUGGCAGCAUAAUAUAAAUAAAUAAUAAUCAUAAAAUUCUGGUGAUCUCAGCUACAGAUGGAUUACUGGAGUUCUACAGCCAAGCACCUAGAAAAGUGAAUAUUAGCUUUUCUCACAUAGCUCUGAUAAAGGUUGCUGGGCACUCACAUGGUUGCUGUGGUGGAGUCCAUUACAUUUAAACCUGUGUGCUCUUGAGUUUUCCUGCAUCUCAGUAGACUUCAGCACUGUCUCUUUCCUUGGCUUUUGGCCUUGCUUGGUCUCUGUCUGUUAUCCCUUCACAGAUAUGGGACCGUGUGGAUUGGUUGCCUUAGGUGGACCUGUGCUUUCUCUCACAUACCUUGCCCAGUCUCUCCUGUAGUUUAAGUACACCCACUCCCUGAAGUUCCACCAUGUGAGCACUUUGGCUUCACAGUUCACCUUUUCAGGGGUAUGUCAUAGGUGAAAUGCUCAGACACAGGUGAGCUUUGAAGAGGAUUCUAAACACCAUUACUUUAUAUAAAGGCAAAAAUAAUAAAUCAAAAUAGGGUAAGUCAAAAUAAAUAAAAUCCUACAGGUAAGUCAAAAACAUGGGAGAAGGGUUGGAAUUUGGGGGGAGCAUGGGCUGUUUUAGCAGGGAUAAGGGAGAGACAAGACAGAACUGGUGGGAGGUGGCUGGGAAUCAAAUCUGUAUCUUAAUGUCUAUACUAAUGCAAGAAGUAUGGGAAAUAAGCAGGAAGAACUUGAAAUGCUAGUAAAUAAACACAACUAUGACAUAGUUGGCAUCCACCAAGACCUGGUGGGUUAAUAUGCAUGACUGGAAUAUUGGUAUAGAAGGAUACAGCUUGCUCAGGAAGGACAGUCAGAGCCCUCUUGGAUGUCCUGGAUCCUCCUGCAGCUCAUAGCUUCUCUGAAUCAUUGCUCAAUUUUUCUCUGCUCUGUCUCGCUUCCUUUGACCUUUGGCUGGUACUACAGUUAAAUAGGACCCCUCUCCUACAAAAGCAUAAUCCUCUGAUCCCGUCUCCUGCUCACUUGCUUUGUGAGUUCUUUGAAUUUGUAAGUCCCACUACCAACACCUGGUUCCUUUUGUUCUGUUUCUGGGCACUUUACGCUCUCCACGGUCAGACCCUUGCAGAGAAGUUACUGGGGAAAAAUGGAUUUUUCCCUAGGAUACAGUUACUCUUGUUCGCCACAGGUAAGAUCUAUUCAGGUGUUUGAUAGUCUUUAACAAUUAGCCUGUUCACAGAUAAGGAGAAGUGCUGCCAACAACACGUCUUGGUGCAAGGUGCACAAGUAAGAGUCAUAAAAUGAGGAUACAAAAGCCUAUAAAAUCAAAUUGAAAUUCAUAAGCUGUACAUAGACAGAUUCCCCAAAUUGUGUCUCAGCGCUAGUGACAUUCUUUAGGAAGGCACAUCAGAAUGUAGGCCAUACUUACAGAAUGGGGAACUCUGUCCUGGGAAGCAGUGACUCUCUGAAAAAGAUUUGGGAGUCAUGAGCUCAGGCUGGUGCUAUGGCCUACAGAAUGUGAUCCUGGGAUACCCCUGUUUAUGUAUCUCAAGUAAGAGUACGGAGGUUAUUUUAUCUCUAUAUUUGGCACUGGUGCGACUGCUGCUGGAAUACUGUGCCCAAUUCUUGUGUCCGCAGUUCAAGAAUGAAGUUGAUAAAUUGGAGGGGAUUCAGAAAAGAGCCAUGAGAAUGAUUAAAGGAUCAGAAAAAUGCCUUAGAGUGAUAAAUUCAAGGAGCUCACUCUGUUUAGCUUAAUAAAGAGAAGGUAAAGGGGUGACUUUAUUAGUCUUUAAGUAUCAUCAUGGGGAACAAAUAUUUAUAAUGGGCAUGUCAAUCCUACCAGAGAUAGGUGUAACAUGAUCCAGUGGGUGGAAGUUGAAGCUAGACAAAUUCAGAUUGGAAAUAAGGCGCACAUUUUUAACAGUGGGAGUAAUUAACCACUGGAACAAUUUACCCAGGGUUGUGGUGGAUUCUCCAUCACUGACAAAUGUUAAAUCAAGAUUGGAUGAUUUUUCUAAAAUUUGCUUUAGGAAUGAUUUGGGGGAUGUUCUAUGGUCUGUGUUGUACAGGAGUUCUGACUAGCUGAUCACCAUAAUUUGUUCCGCUUUUGGAAUAUGUCAGAUUAGACUAGACUUGGGCUGGCCUUUCUAGUUGUCAUUACCUUGAAAAGAUAAGGUUUGGACUUAGUUCCUCUGUCCAUACAAGAACAACACUGCUGCUUUGAGAGGAAAAGGCUGUUCCUCCAGCUUCAGAAACAUCUGUUCAAGGUAAGUAAUUUCCACAAUUCCUGGGAAAUAGUUCUCCCAUCGUUUUAAACCCGCAUUUUAAUGAAUGUUCCAAAAUGCAGUUUGUGGCUUUGACCAGCAGAUGGAGUUGAACUCUCAUUUGUGGGUAUGGGGAAAAGCAGAGGUUUUUUUUCUUACAAAGUGUGCUAGUGCCAGUGUGGCUUGGUGCAGGUUGGGGGCCCCUAGUAGGUAGAAUAAUACAAAUAGGAAAUAGUAGUUAUAUUGACCAGUGGGGAGUAAAAUAUCUGGAAACAUAUCACUUCCUUGAUUAAAAAUUAUAUCCCCUACAAAAUUCCAAGAUUUAGCCACCUAGCUAAAUGUCUCUGCAUUCUUGAGGGAUAGGAUCACUCUAUUUAAAAGGAACCUCUCACCCAAGAGCUGCAAAAGCAAAAUGCAGCAGUACAGCUAAAGAAAGCAUGCAAGAGACUAUGGAGAAUAUCAGGAACAGUGUAGAAUAAAAAUCUUAAUGCUUUAAAUGAGAUGAAUGAAUUAUUUUUCAGGUGAACUUCUUGAGUGUGUGUGUGAGAGAGAGAGAAAAUUUAUGUAACACUGUCACUUACCUAUUCCACUCUGGGGCAGGGAUGUGCAGGAAGAGGGCACUUUUUAUUGUAAUUCUGCCACCAAACGGAUGAGAGGAUUCUCUAACUCCCCUGGAUACUGCUCUCCUGUCUCCAAGGCAGAUUAUUAUUCUCUGAGCACACACAAACUUUUAAGAGCAACUAUUUUGCUUUUGAAAUUCUCCAGGUUGUACUAAAUAUGAGAUCCUCACUUGGGAUAAAUGGUCAUAGCUACCCCGGCAUUAAUGAAGCGAUGACCAUUUGCAGAAGCUGAGGCUGUGGCCUCCAAUAUGUUUUCAAAAUAUUCUUCUAGGGAAGGAAAACCACCGAUGCUGUACAAGGUCUUCAUUUCUAGCCUCUGCCUCCAUGCCAGAUUAAACACUAUGAACUCCAUGCUUUGCUAUUACUAUAAUACUCAGGAUUGUCUUUCUAGAAACAAAAUCUAACCCGUUCCACAAAUGCUUUUAGCAUAAGUUUGUUUGCCUAGAAUGCUGCCUCAUUUCUUGUUUAGGUUUAUAAGAAAGCAUUUUUGUUUAAAUAGGAUAUCAAAUGAAAGCGACUCACCCGUCCCCAGCCUGCCUUUCUGUGAGUACAAGUACCUGUGGGAUGUGGCUCUCAUCACACAUGGAUACAUUUUCAUGGGAGCUUCUUCUUAAAAUAUGGGCACCAUGUUAUUGGCCUGAAGUCUCUCUCCUCCUCAUAGCAGUAGGCUCAUAUAUACAGAAAGACUAGUUUGGCUGAUAUCCUUGGAUUUCCGCUCAUUCUGCCUUGCCAUCUCCUGCACUGUAAUCCUGCUGCGAUAGCUGAUCUGCUUCUGCUGCACACUGGUAAUCACGAGGAGGAGAACUCAACACACCGUGUUCUAUUCUCUCCUUCUGCCUUGGCCUCCGCACGUCUUUUUCCCCCUGCUUUUUUUUUUUUCUCUCCCAGGCCAUUUUUAUUAGUGCAGUAACAGUAAGACGUGGUAAGAUCAAAGUGUGAUCACCUUCAGAUUCCUCUAUUGCUGAAGUUUAUGAGCUAAGUGUUAACUGCAUGCUUCAAGUGAAAUAAACUGCAUGCUUUUUGUCUGCCCGUUUAUAAGCGCGCUGGGCUAGCAUCAGUUUUCAGUCUGACUGGAAGCCUGCAACAGCUGUUUCAUGUUAUAUUUCACUUGCAUUAGAAUUAGUUACUUUUUCCAGACUCCCAGACUGGUUCCCCAGUAUUAUUUCUUGUCAAAAUUCUUAAUUAACAACAAUACCAACACUGAUCUUGGAAUAACAGUGGAAGCAGAAAGGGUCAGAUUGAGAAGUGACACAUACACACACACCUGAGACUGGCACUUUGGACAGCGCUUGGCAUUCUAGAACUAUAUUAUAACUUUAAACCCCAUGGGAUCGGAAUUUAGGAUCCAGUCCUGCAAACGUUCAUGCAUUAGGUGAUGUAUCUGUAAAUUGAGUGUGAACUCCAGGAAGCUCAAUGCCAUUGUGCUGUCUGAUGCAUUCUCUAUGCUUUAGAGGAAUUAUUAUAAUAUACAUGUUGCAGGCACACAGCACAAUAUUAUAUACGUUAUGGGAGAGCCUGAAUAUGUAAACGAAACAGAUUCCGGUUUCCAGAACAGGGUCUGAACAAUUGCUGUGGUGUGCACUAAUGCUUGUCUCCGUAGUUUCCGAACAACUAGUGUCUAAAGUUUAAACUGUUGCUUUCUUAGCUACCUUGAGAAUGAAGGGUGUUUGGGAGGGGGUGUACACACCACACAAGGCCUGAAGAGGUCAAGGUAGCUAGGUAGGCCAAGUAACUGUCGAGGCUGCACCUGGAGGAGGAGCCAGGGAGCAGGGAUUAAUUUGUUGAGACUCAGCUGAGUGGGAACAGGAAGGGCCUGUAUAAAGCCCAGGAGCUGGGGAUGUGGGAUGCUGUAGGGAAGGAUUCUGUUACCACUCCCUGGGAGAAGGGAGCUGUGUUUAGGACUAUAGAGAGUAGUCCAAAGUUACUCCCUGGGAGGACUGUAUUUGGGCUGGCAAACCCAGUAAAGAGAGAGAGUCGGAAAGGUGGGAAGGGCUCUGGGGAAAAGCAGCACGGAUAGGAUAGGGAAGACCUUGGCUGCUGAUGAGACGGGCCCUGAGUUGGAACUUGCAGAAGAGGACAGGGCUGGGUUCUCCUACCAGCCACUGGGGAAGUGGCACAGACCAGGCAGUGGAGAGUGGAUUGCAUGGGACAGUUUGGGCUGGAUGGAAGACUUUUUGAUACCCCGGAAUGGGGGAAGCACACAUAGUGACCUGGCCGGAGGGCCAGGUCAUGAAGAAUGAGUCCCUGGACAUGGAGAGGAUGAUGGGUGGAGAGACCACCAGAAGAGGACGCAACACCUGGAAGGAGCUAAUCCCUACAGCUGCUAGGAGGAGGUACCCUAGUGGUGCUGCUGAACUGGAUAUUUUCUGAGGAUCAGGAUGCAGCUGCACCUUGGUUGUCCAGCAAAGAGGAAAAGCAAUGGGGUGUCUGUGAGGCUUCUGCUUUAGGCCUUAGCUUCUCCAUCCAGAUAUCACUGGAACAACAGACAGAACCCAGGAACAAUGCAACUGUUUAGAUACUUGGAGGAAAGGAAGAGAGGGGAAGAAAAGGCUGCAAAAGAGUGGAUGUGGAUGUUGUGAGUUUAAAGAAAAACGAUGGUGCACAUUCAUGGAGGGUUUCAAAAAUCAGAAGAUGAGUCUGAAAACACACUCGCAUAUAUAUAUUUUGGGGAGAAACAUCAAUAUGGUAUUAUACUGAGUACAAUUUAUUUGCACCAAUAAAAUCCAUGCUCUUUGCCUUAUCCACUUUCACAAGUGAUGUAAAUAGAAUUGUGUGUGUGUAUUAAAUGUAACAUGCUCAUAUUUUUAUGCACAAACCUCAAUACUAUAUACUAAUCUACAGGCAGACAUUUAUUUGUGCCAGCAAUGCCCCUUUGCCAUGUACAUUGGUCAAACUGGACA